GGAAGACACACUGGUUGUGAGACCAGCCCCACUCCAAGGUUUUUGCUGGGUCUCCAGACAGGAUCUCCCUAUUUAUCCCAGCCCGCUGGAACUCACUAUGUAGCCCAAGCUGACUUUAAACUUGACAAUCCACCUGCCUCACCUUCUCAACAAUUAGCUUUUCUUAAUAAAUUUCAAGUUUGCUUCA
This is a long non-coding RNA of Grammomys surdaster, 187 nucleotides long. RefSeq lists it as uncharacterized. The record is from RefSeq and is a predicted model, not a curated record. The transcript has 2 exons. Lineage: Eukaryota; Metazoa; Chordata; Mammalia; Rodentia; Muridae.